RNAcentral lists this non-coding RNA (24 nucleotides) under Arabidopsis thaliana (thale cress). The record is from RNAcentral. Lineage: Eukaryota; Viridiplantae; Streptophyta; Magnoliopsida; Brassicales; Brassicaceae.
UAUUAAGUCAUGUGGCAAUACCCA